RNAcentral lists this long non-coding RNA (682 nucleotides) under Homo sapiens (human). RNAcentral describes it as "HSALNT0053689". The record is from RNAcentral. Lineage: Eukaryota; Metazoa; Chordata; Mammalia; Primates; Hominidae.
GUUAGCAGUGCUUGGGGGAAUGAAGACAGAGGGUGGUGACUACAUGAGAGGGAAGGACAAAAAGAGGGGGCAGCAGCCCAGGCUGCCCGUGAUGCUGUUGCCUCCAGCUCUGGCAGGGCAACAUGGAGUCCUGACCCACAAACAGUCCUGUCCUUCUCUUAUCACUGCUGAAGCUCCAGGACUCAGCCAUUAUGAAAUCCAACCAAGCUUCUGGUGCCAGCAUCUGAGGACAGCUCUCAGGCUGCUGAAACCCACUUUGCCUGUGUGCAUGGAGAGCUGGAAAUGCCUGGGAUGUGCCUCUUCCUGGGGCUACCUGUGACUAAUGACUGAUCAAUCCCCAGCUUCCCCCACCCCCAGACACUCUGAGGUGUCACCUGCCCUAUCUCCAGAGCUCACCUGGGGGAAACAGCCAAAGUUACCCUCCAGGCAGGAUGUCACACUCCUGCUUCUUGGUCCUACUUUCCCACUUGCCUACCCGUUUUUCCAGGGAACAAUUGCUAAUAAAUCUUUUUCAAAUGAAUUGCUUCCAGAUGAAUCCUCAUCUCAGGGUUGGCUUUGGGGAACUCAAACUAAGACAGUUAUAUUAACAAAUCUAAUUGCUGAGCCUCCAAAGCUGAGAACCAGCAGACUGGUUCCAUGGGCUGAAUUUGGCCAGCAGUUGUAUUUUGUUCAGCAUGCCUCC